ACCAGACUCCUACGGGAGGCAGCAGUGGGGGAUAUUGCACAAUGGGGGGAACCCUGAUGCAGCGACGCCGCGUGGGUGAAGAAGCGCCUCGGCGCGUAAAGCCCUGUCAGCAGGGAAGAAAAUGACGGUACCUGAAGAAGAAGCCCCGGCUAACUACGUGCCAGCAGCCGCGGUAAUACGUAGGGGGCAAGCGUUAUCCGGAUUUACUGGGUGUAAAGGGGGCGCAGACGGCGAUGCAAGCCAGGAGUGAAAGCCCGGGGCCCAACCCCGGGACUGCUCUUGGAACUGCGUGGCUGGAGUGCAGGAGGGGCAGGCGGAAUUCCUAGUGUAGCGGUGAAAUGCGUAGAUAUUAGGAGGAACACCAGUGGCGAAGGCGGCCUGCUGGACGAUGACUGACGUUGAGGCUCGAAAGCGUGGGGAGCAAACAGGAUUAGAUACCCUAGUA
This 445-nucleotide ribosomal RNA is filed under the name uncultured bacterium. RNAcentral describes it as "bacterial SSU rRNA". It matches the Rfam family "Bacterial small subunit ribosomal RNA", at positions 330 to 792 of the family's 1533-position model. The record is from RNAcentral.